UGAAACACGAAAGGCCUCAAAAAAUGACAGAUUGAAACACACGGCAUUUAUCAGACGCUCUGCCAAAAUCCCUCUAAAAUGACAGUACAGAGAUUAUUACAAUACAUAAAGGCACAAGGAUAAAGAAUGGGUGGAAAGAAGGCAGCUAUAUAUAUAUAUGUGUGUGUGUGUGUAUACAUAUAUUGUGUGUGUGUACAUAUAUAUACACUGGAAGCUAGAAAGAAGAUGAAAGUGUGGCAUUUGAUGAAGACCAGAAAAAGCUGCAAGCUAAGCUUUGAAGAAGGCUGAUUUUUUCUGUAGAAUCCCAAUCUGCCUCAGAAAUGAGAGGCAUCAAGUACCUCUGAAAGUGGGGAUGAGCAUAGAAGAAUGAGCUGAAAGGCUAUAUGAGAGGCAGAAAGAUGCCCUCCCACCCCCAUGCUGCUCCUGAGCCUGACCAAAGGCCUAUCUGAAAAAGACUGGAAGAGCCAGAAGGUUCUGGAUUCUGGGUCAAUGGCGCUGUAAGAGCAAAGAGGACCAAGAGCAAACAAGGGGAUCAAUACAACUCAUCUGUCCCCACUUGCUCACAGAAUCCUGGGACACAGGUUUGUACCUUUCAGGCAGAAAAGUCGACAGUUCUUCUCAGGUGAAACUGAUUCAUUCAAGAAAACACAAACAAACAAAAACACUGACCCUGACAUUGGGGAGAAAGGGCUUGCCCACUGAGUUUCCUGGGUGAUGAACAACGCUUCGGAACAAGGCUCCACUCUAAAGACAGGGAGGGGUGGCAGGUCAGUAGUCUAUGUUUUGAAACUUGAGCUCCAGGUGAUUUUGCCGUGGUUAAAGCUGGCGAACUAUUGAGACAGAUUAUUUUACAACAUAGCCCUUGAGUCAACAAGAUUAAACCCCUGCUCACAAACCUGCCAAUCAAGUUUUUUAGAGAUCAGCUCUCACACAGAAAAAGCCACAUAUAAUAAGCAGAUAUUGCAAGAAACUCUCUAGCGUAAAAGAGAAAAAAGAAAUCUGUGAAAAUAGAAGCAGUGUAGUAAACAGAAGAAAACGUCAAAAGGCUAAUUCAUGUCUUCUGAAAGAUAAGAGAAGAUACUACAUUCAUGAACUAAGAAUAGAUUAUAAAAAAGAAUAUUCAAAAAGUAAAAGGUUUGUAAAAUAGGAAAGAAAAAGAAGAAAAAAUAUAAGAACAGUCUAGAAGAUUCACCACAGGAAUACAGCAAUCAACUAACAGAGAUUUCAGAAAAUAAGAGCAGAGAAAAUGUGGGGGAGGAAAUUAUCAAAGAAAUAGUUGAAGACAUUUCCCAGAAUUGAAAGGGCCUGUGCUUUUACAUAGAGAAGGCACACUGACUGCCCCAUGCAGUAGAUAAAAGAAAAUUACACUGGCAUUUUCUCAGGACACUAAAGGACAGAGAGAAGGUGCAAAACAUCUACAGAGACAGAACAAGAAGCUAACACAUAAAAGGGAUGGAAACCUAUUCUGUGUGAUGCUCCAAUAGCGGGUAGUAUAACCUUGUUAAAAGCCAGAGAAUGGACAGUACUAAGAGUGAACCAUAAUGUAAACCAUGGACAUUGGGUGAUAGUGAUGUGUCGCUGUAGGUUCACUAAUUGCUAACAGAUGUUCCACUCUGGCGCAGCAUGGGGGAGGCCGUGUUGUGUCGUGUGCGGGAAGAUGAUGCUAUAUGGAAACUCACAGCUCAAUUUUGCCAUGAAUCUGCUCUAAAAAAUAAAGGCUGAAAACAAAAGGAAUGGGGCCCGGCCCGGUGGCACAGCAGUUAAGUUCGCACGUUUGCUUCUCGGCGGCCCUGGGUUCUCCGGUCCGGAUCCCAGGUGCGGACAUGGCACUGCUUGCAAAAGCCAUGCUGUGGUAGGCGUCCCACGUAUAAAAAGUGGAGGAAGACAGGCAUGGAUGUUAGCUCACGGCCAGUCUUCCUCAGCAAAAAGAGGAGGAUUGGCAGCAGUUAGCUCAGAGCUAAUCUUCCUCAAAAAGAAAAGAAAAAGAAAAAGAAAAGGAAUGGGAAUCAGAAUGGCAUCUCAGUUCUCCAGCAAUGUUAGAGGCCAGAAGACGAUGGAUAAUUGCUUCAAAAAUUCU
Long non-coding RNA from Equus asinus (donkey), 2077 nucleotides. The record is from Ensembl. Lineage: Eukaryota; Metazoa; Chordata; Mammalia; Perissodactyla; Equidae.